GUCCACGCCGUAAACGAUGGGCACUAGGUGUGAGGGGUAUUGACCCCCUUCGUGCCGAAGCUAACGCACUAAGUGCCCCGCCUGGGGAGUACGGCCGCAAGGCUAAAACUCAAAGGAAUUGACGGGGGCCCGCACAAGCAGCGGAGCGUGUGGUUUAAUUCGACGCAACGCGAAGAACCUUACCAAGGCUUGACAUGCUGGUGGUACCAAUCCGAAAGGUGCGGGACCCUUCGGGGAGCCAGUGCAGGUGAUGCAUGGCUGUCGU
RNAcentral lists this ribosomal RNA (265 nucleotides) under uncultured bacterium. RNAcentral describes it as "partial 16S ribosomal RNA". It matches the Rfam family "Bacterial small subunit ribosomal RNA", at positions 793 to 1055 of the family's 1533-position model. The record is from RNAcentral.